CAGAGUCAAGAAAUGUAGCCUAGGUGAAGAACAGAAAGGAAACCAAGAUUAGAAAAGUAGGAAAGAGCCAUAUUAUUAAGUGCAUUAAAAGUCAAGCAGGGGCAGCUGGGUAGCACAGUGGAUAGAGUGCCAGGCCUGGAGUUAGGAAGACUCAUCUUCCUGAGUUCAAAUCUAGCCUUAGACACUAGCAGUGUGACCCUGGAGAAGUCAUCAUUCUUGGAAGGGGACAAAAUAGACUCUGGGAAAGAAAACUUGAUGCCAUUCCACACUGGCAUCAUCUGCAUCCCAGACCUAGAGACUUUCAGCUCCCUCUCUUCAUCAGAGUCUCCAGACCAAAAUACCAAAUCCCAGACCAACACAGUCAAUCAAGAUCAUUUUCACUUUGGAUGCCUUUACUCUCUCACAGCCCUCUGUGAUACCCUAGUCAACAAGUCUUCAUCGGAGAGCUCCCACCAAGGCUUCCAUCACCCCUAGGCUCUGCCUAGUGGCUCAUGUCUUAAUAGGGCAGGGAAAAGAAAGUAACCUGGUUGUCAUAUCACUCUAACAGAGUCUACUAUAGGGCCCAGAAGUCUACUGCUUUAACUCCAGGAAGUUUGUGGUAUUUGUGACCUAGCCAUUCCCUAUAAGGGUUGUGAUUUCUCUCCUUCAUCUCCAUUAUGGUGCAGUGCCAAUAUCAUCACUUUGCCCCUACCUCCCACUCCUACCUUAUCUCUCAGCCUCCUACAUAAUGCAAUAUAUCUCCUUAAGUCUUCAGGAAAGACAGGGAUAUGAACAAGAAUGGAAAAUGUCAUUUCUGGGUAUAAACCAUGUUCUUUGAUGUCCAAAGAAAAUAGAAAGGCGGGUCUACCAGCCAAUGCCAACCCAUGAGCUGGAUACCUGGUGGCAUCCACGAUGGGACCUGUACCUGUUCCAAGCUAUAAGCUCCAUGGAGGCAAGAAUGGUUUCUUGUCUUUACUUCAUAUCUCUACCAUAUUAAGCACAGGGGUAUAUGGUUUAUGGUCAUGGAAUAAAUGAAAAGUCAUGCAAGAAGGUAGUUUUCUA
RNAcentral lists this long non-coding RNA (1041 nucleotides) under Monodelphis domestica (gray short-tailed opossum). RNAcentral describes it as "lncRNA (ENSMODG00000037629.1)". The record is from RNAcentral. Lineage: Eukaryota; Metazoa; Chordata; Mammalia; Didelphimorphia; Didelphidae.